RNAcentral lists this ribosomal RNA (750 nucleotides) under uncultured bacterium. Its description in RNAcentral is "bacterial SSU rRNA". It matches the Rfam family "Bacterial small subunit ribosomal RNA", at positions 28 to 773 of the family's 1533-position model. The record is from RNAcentral.
AUUGAACGCUGGCGGCAGGCCUAACACAUGCAAGUCGAGCGGAUGAAGGGAGCUUGCUCCUGGAUUCAGCGGCGGACGGGUGAGUAAUGCCUAGGAAUCUGCCUGGUAGUGGGGGACAACGUUUCGAAAGGAACGCUAAUACCGCAUACGUCCUACGGGAGAAAGCAGGGGACCUUCGGGCCUUGCGCUAUCAGAUGAGCCUAGGUCGGAUUAGCUAGUUGGUGAGGUAAUGGCUCACCAAGGCGACGAUCCGUAACUGGUCUGAGAGGAUGAUCAGUCACACUGGAACUGAGACACGGUCCAGACUCCUACGGGAGGCAGCAGUGGGGAAUAUUGGACAAUGGGCGAAAGCCUGAUCCAGCCAUGCCGCGUGUGUGAAGAAGGUCUUCGGAUUGUAAAGCACUUUAAGUUGGGAGGAAGGGUUGUAGAUUAAUACUCUGCAAUUUUGACGUUACCGACAGAAUAAGCACCGGCUAACUCUGUGCCAGCAGCCGCGGUAAUACAGAGGGUGCAAGCGUUAAUCGGAAUUACUGGGCGUAAAGCGCGCGUAGGUGGUUCGUUAAGUUGGAUGUGAAAUCCCCGGGCUCAACCUGGGAACUGCAUCCAAAACUGGCGAGCUAGAGUAUGGUAGAGGGUGGUGGAAUUUCCUGUGUAGCGGUGAAAUGCGUAGAUAUAGGAAGGAACACCAGUGGCGAAGGCGACCACCUGGACUGAUACUGACACUGAGGUGCGAAAGCGUGGGGAGCAAAC